Molecule: unclassified non-coding RNA, 244 nt
Filed under: Hevea brasiliensis (rubber tree)
Lineage: Eukaryota; Viridiplantae; Streptophyta; Magnoliopsida; Malpighiales; Euphorbiaceae
Source: RNAcentral
ACAAGAAAGUGAAGAACAAAGGGAGCUUUGGGAUUCAAUAGUGCAACUUGAAGUGGAGAAAUCUAAGUUUAAAGAAUAUGAACUUGAAAUUUCAGUUGUAAUGCCUCUCAAUAUUGUUGAAGAUGAUGAGCCUCGGUUCAAUUUUGAGCAACCAAUUCUAGAAGGAGAAGCCCGGAUUAAUGACAUAGAGCAAGAGGAGCUAGAGAAAAGUGUCGUAGGGAGUAAAGAACCCCAACCCAUGGAG